This 516-nucleotide ribosomal RNA is filed under the name Triticum aestivum (bread wheat). RNAcentral's name for it is "partial small subunit ribosomal RNA". The record is from RNAcentral. Lineage: Eukaryota; Viridiplantae; Streptophyta; Magnoliopsida; Poales; Poaceae.
AUGGUUGAACUAACUCUACAUUUGCACAAAUUUCCAGCCCUCCUUUUGUCAGAUGUGAACACAUCCCUCAGGCGUGUGACCGUGCAUGCACGCAUAGCUCGUGUUUGGGAAUUUCACAAGGACAAUGAAUUAGCGCAUGUUGACCUUGUCUUUGUUGAUGAGCAGGGAAACCAAAUGUAUGGGGAAAUAUAGGCAAUGCAUGCAGAUAUGUUCAGAGAAAAACUAAAAGAGGGAAAUGUCUGGCUCAUCAAGGAUUUCUUUGUUAACACAGCAAAGAACAAGUACAAGGUUGUGGAAGGAAGUUUCAUGAUGAAAAUAACUCCAUGAUCAAAAAUUGACGUGCAAAAUGAUGUGCCUGAAGAUUACCCUCGCUAUGCUUAUUCACUGAGUGACUUUAAGCUUCUACCCUCUAUGGUUGGAAAAAAAGACUCCUUUAUAGAUAUCUUGAAGGUUCGGCUGCCUGGUCGAGCCCAAGAUUCUGAUAAUAGAAACCUACAUAUUACAGAUAUUGAGUAA